This 241-nucleotide ribosomal RNA is filed under the name Pelobates cultripes (western spadefoot toad). RNAcentral describes it as "SSU_rRNA_microsporidia". It matches the Rfam family "Eukaryotic small subunit ribosomal RNA", at positions 229 to 473 of the family's 1831-position model. Lineage: Eukaryota; Metazoa; Chordata; Amphibia; Anura; Pelobatidae. The record is from RNAcentral.
UCCCGGAGGAGAUCAUCCAACUCGUCACUUUUUCAAUGGGCUCCCCAACGACAAAGCGACAACGCAUUCGUAUGUCAUCCAUAUCAACUUCCGAUGCCAUUUACUGCGCCUACCAUGUUGACCACAGGUAACGGGAAUCAGGGUUCGAUUCCAGAGAGGGAGCCUGAGAAAUGGCUACCACAUGCAAGGAUGGCAGAGGGCGCGCAAAUGACCCACUCCCAACGCGGGAAGGUAGUGACGA